RNAcentral lists this non-coding RNA (120 nucleotides) under Odontella aurita. The record is from RNAcentral. Lineage: Eukaryota; Bacillariophyta; Thalassiosirophyceae; Eupodiscales; Odontellaceae.
GACUAUCGUCUUCGGCAGGGUUUCGAAGGGGAAGCCGGCGAAGGACGGCAGAUGGAGCUAGUGUGGGUAGUAAGUCGCUGCGAAGACGGGCUAAGGAGGAUGCAACGGCUGAUUCGGGAG